RNAcentral lists this ribosomal RNA (253 nucleotides) under uncultured bacterium. Its description in RNAcentral is "partial 16S ribosomal RNA". It matches the Rfam family "Bacterial small subunit ribosomal RNA", at positions 524 to 776 of the family's 1533-position model. The record is from RNAcentral.
UACGGAGGGUGCAAGCGUUGUCCGGAUUUAUUGGGUUUAAAGGGUGCGUAGGCGGCCCUGUAAGUCAGUGGUGAAAUACUGCAGCUUAACUGUAGCAUUGCCAUUGAUACUGUAGGGCUUGAGUACAGAUGAGGUAGGCGGAAUGGAUGGUGUAGCGGUGAAAUGCAUAGAUAUCAUCCAGAACACCGAUUGCGAAGGCAGGUGGCUACGAUUUAUUUGACACUGAGGCACGAAAGCAUGGGGAGCAAACAGG